This 300-nucleotide non-coding RNA is filed under the name Bos taurus (domestic cattle). RNAcentral describes it as "Eukaryotic large subunit ribosomal RNA". It matches the Rfam family "Eukaryotic large subunit ribosomal RNA", at positions 2493 to 2797 of the family's 3401-position model. RNAcentral also lists the same sequence under 1 other name. The record is from Rfam by way of RNAcentral. Lineage: Eukaryota; Metazoa; Chordata; Mammalia; Artiodactyla; Bovidae.
AUUCCCAUCUCUCUAAGAUCAUUUUUUCACUGACCCUGUGAGGUGGGGGGUGAGCCCUAAGGAUCUUGCUUCUGGAGCAACCCAUUGUGGGGACAGUGGCAGGUGGGGAGUUUGGGGUGGUAUACCUGUCAAAGGUAAUGCAGGUGUCCUAAGGUGAGCUCUGGGAGGACAGAAAGCUCCCAUGGAGCAGAAGGACAAAAGCUCACUUGAUCUUGAUUUUCAGUAUGUAAUAGUUAAAACCUCUCCCUUUUCCAGACUGCUGGCAUCAGCUAAUCUGUUCUUCUUCCAAAUACAUUGGUU